Molecule: ribosomal RNA, 532 nt
Filed under: uncultured bacterium
Lineage: Bacteria
Description: bacterial SSU rRNA
Rfam family: Bacterial small subunit ribosomal RNA
Source: RNAcentral
AGAGUUUGAUCCUGGCUCAGGACGAACGCUGGCGGCGUGCCUAAUACAUGCAAGUCGAGCGGACGAAUCGAAAGCUUGCUUUUGAUUCGUUAGCGGCGGACGGGUGAGUAACACGUGGGCAACCUGCCCUGUAGACGGGGAUAACACCGAGAAAUCGGUGCUAAUACCGGAUAACACGAAAUGUCGCAUGACGUUUCGUUGAAAGACGGCGCAAGUUGUCGCUACAGGAUGGGCCCGCGGCGCAUUAGCUAGUUGGUGAGGUAACGGCUCACCAAGGCGACGAUGCGUAGCCGACCUGAGAGGGUGAUCGGCCACACUGGGACUGAGACACGGCUCAGACUCCUACGGGAGGCAGCAGUAGGGAAUCUUCCGCAAUGGACGAAAGUCUGACGGAGCAACGCCGCGUGAGCGAAGAAGGCCUUCGGGUCGUAAAGCUCUGUUGUUAGGGAAGAACAAGUAACGCAGUAACUGGCGUUACCGUGACGGUACCUAACGAGAAAGCCACGGCUAACUACGUGCCAGCAGCCGCGGU